RNAcentral lists this long non-coding RNA (528 nucleotides) under Olea europaea subsp. europaea. The record is from RNAcentral. Lineage: Eukaryota; Viridiplantae; Streptophyta; Magnoliopsida; Lamiales; Oleaceae.
GGAAAUAAUAAAGUUAUAAACUUUUUUCAACAUACAACCUUCCAAACAUGCCACUAACAUAUAAAUCACAAGUUUGUAUCCGCAAAAUGUCGGACAACCAGUCCGUACCAUGAACAAAAAUAUGAGAAUUGCAGUGUACACAUACUACACACCCUUCUUACCUCUCUUGCGAUCGAAUCGUGUGAAUGGUGUCUUAGUGUUUAUGUAGGGGAUUAGCAAUCUUCGACGGUUCAGCACGGAUGACAUCAUCAAUUGGCGAAGCAUCGAUGGAGACAGCAACUGUAGGUAUAGUGUUUGUGGUCUCUAUUACACUGUCUAGAGCAACAUCAACUAACCUCUCGAAUCCAACCCCAGCCAUCGACAUUCUGUACACAUCACUGGUCUGGCAGCCAACUGCUUCGGUUGCACCUUUUGGAUGCCAUGUGUCCACUUUCGUAUGUGGCGUCAAAUUGUGAUCGUAACCAUCAUGGUGGGCACAUCUCUACCGCAAUAGUCCUAAAAUCUAUCGUACUUACCGGUGGCAUUGUG